This is a non-coding RNA of Pelodiscus sinensis (Chinese soft-shelled turtle), 2001 nucleotides long. The record is from RefSeq and is a predicted model, not a curated record. NCBI's taxonomy places the organism in Eukaryota, Metazoa, Chordata, Testudines, Trionychidae.
CUGCGCAGCCUCACCAGUGUCGGCAAAGCCUCGGCGCCCACCGCGCUAGACCGCUGUGUCGACUGAGCAUGCGCAGUAACCAGUGACGCCUCCGGGAUUUUCCCCCCCUCCCUGUGGUAUAACUGGGCAUGUGCAAUUGUUUUGCGCAUGCUCGCUCGUUGCGCGCGCUAGAGCGCAGACUAGGCUGCCCGUCAGCGGCCUGCGUGAGGAAAAGGCUCCGGGGCCGCAAACGCGGGAGCCCCCGGAAGGACCCGUCUGAGGUGCCCAGGAAGGGCGCUUAAAGUGGGGGAUAAAGAGAGGCGGCUUCUGCGCGCUCCUCCUUGGGCGGCGCAUCUGGCCCGCAAGUCCCGUGCCUGGCUCUGCCUUUCCUCGGCUGGCCCGGGGCAGCCUCGAGGGGGGAGGACGAAGUCAGUGCUAUGCCCGUUUGUGUCCUUAUCUCAUUGUAAAACCGGCUGAGCUAGACGCCAGCUCCCUCUCGGCGGAGGCAAAAACACCUCGAUGUGCUCAUACCUAUUCUCCUUCCACACGGAGUUGUGUCCCUUGGCAGUGAAAGGUUAAGCUGUAGUCCUCUUGAGCUAGUACUUCUGUAUAAUUUCAACACGUGUGUGCCUUGAGUUAAUGGAAUAAGAGGACAUCAGGAGGAGAGGAGCUCACUCCAUCUGCGACCUAGGGCGGCAACAAAGGAAACGACAGGAGCUGGACCGCGUGUGUAUGCAAAAUGGUGCGAACGCCGUGAGAUGCCUACCGUGCAUGCAAAAUCUGGCUAACUACUGCUGCUCAAAACUCCAAUCUGUGGCGCCAGGACGAGGCCAUCACCUACAGUGGAGCACCCAUGGGGACAUCAUCAAAGAAGAAGAAGUUCUUCCUCAUGAAAUAUGUCUCUGGCCGUUCAGUAUCUUUUUGCUUUUCAGCAUAUGUUUUGCCAACAAUAUCCUCAUGCAGAAAAUACAUCUUAAAUACACAUUUAUACAAAUCAAAUUGGCUGUUUGAAGAUCAGUUAGAACAUGAGAAGGUAGUGCAUUGAAGCCUUCAUAUGACAUACAUUCUCUGAGAAGGGCUAUUACAUCCUUUUGGCUCAAAUUAGGAGCAACACACAAUCUAGCCAUUCAAUUAAGUGCUGUUUCCCUUGUGCACGGGCCCAUCAUCCUCAUUGCUCCAGUUUGUCCUGGGGUCAAUGUUUUACUUUCCUGCUUACCUAUCAGAGUGUGGUUACCACCAUAAGAGAUUACUGCAGCAAGGACUGGGGCAGGGACCUCCUACUGCCAUCCCUCCUUCAUCACUUUCAGGAGCAGAUGGCUCCUCUGGGUACUUUCCUCAAUAUGGAGGCAAUUGGUCUUCCUCAAAAUCCAUAUAGAAUUCCCCAGUUCCAUAAGCUGCUAAUAGGUUGGUUUGGAUAGCACAUAUCAUACCCUUAGCUGUCUGCAGCUGCUGCUUUAAUUUAUUUAUUUGUAAUUGACAGACAGCAUGAUUUGAUUCUACCCAUGGGGCACCAACCUCCCUCAUUAGCUGUCUCAUAGCAGCCUGAGGUUCAGCUAAUUGAUGUUCUUUUAAACUGGCAUCUUUCUUAGCCUCUGAUACCUAUAAAUGCAAAUCUCGCAGUUGUUCAAGCUGUGACACUUGCAAUGUUAAGCUGGGUACCACUGCAGAUGCUAUUUGAUUUUCCACAGCCUGCUGCUGGAGUUUUACUCCCAGCUCCCACUUUUCUCCCAGCAUUGCUUCCAUUUGAGUUUUCAGUCAGCCCAUUUCGGAGUUCAGCUCCCAGCUGACCAUAGCUAAGCCAUAAAUCAAGGCACAUUUUGUUGCCUUUUUACUGGAGGUUGGUUUAGCAGUGACAUAUUACACCCAAAGUACAGUAAGUUUACUUAAGGAGUCCUCCCCACCAAGGGACUCUCAUGUCCAAGGAUUCUUUCCCUUCAUGAAAUGAUCCGCACUGAAUUCAAUUGAUUUUUUAUUACACCAGGUGGUCCAUCCUUGGAGGCUAAACACAUGUUCCGCCAUCAA